UUCCGGUUGAUCCUGCCGGACCUGAUUGCUAUCGGAUUGGUACUAAGCCAUGCGAGUAAGUGUAGCAAUACACUGCAGACGGCUCAGUAACACGUGGUCAAGCUAACCUAUGGACGUGGAUAACCUCGGGAAACUGAGAAUAAACCGCGAUAGAUCAUGAUGCCUGGAAUGGCUCAUGGUCGAAAUAGUUUACUGCCGUAGGAUGCGACUGCGGCCUAUCAGUUUGUUGGUGAGGUAAUGGCCCACCAAGACUAUUACAGGUACGGGCUCUGAGAGGAGAAGCCCGGAGAUGGGUACUGAGACACGGACCCAGGCCCUAUGGGGCGCAGCAGGCGAGAAACCUUAGCAAUGUGCGAAAGCACGACUGGGUUAGUCCGAGUGAUUCCUGCUAAAGGAAUCUUUUGCCGGUCCUAAAAGCACCGGUGAAUAAGGGGUGGGCAAGUCUGGUGUCAGCCGCCGCGGUAAUACCAGCACCUCGAGUGAUCAGGACGUUUAUUGGGCCUAAAGCAUCCGUAGCUGGCUUUGCAAGUCUCCGGUUAAAUCAACCUGCUCAACAGAUUGGCCGCUGGAGAUACUACAAGGCUAGGGAGUGGGAGAGGCAGACGGUAUUCGGGGGGUAGGGGUAAAAUCCUCUGAUCCUCUGAGGACCACCAGUGGCGAAGGCGGUCUGCCAGAACACGUUCGACAGUGAGGGAUGAAAGCUGGGGGAGCAAACCGGAUUAGAUACCCGGGUAGUCCCAGCUGUAAACGAUGCAAACUCGGUGAAGCAUUGGCUUAAUACUAAUGCUGUGCCGCAGGGAAGCCGUUAAGUUUGCCACCUGGGAAGUACGGUCGCAAGAUUGAAACUUAAAGGAAUUGGCGGGGGAGCACCACAAGGGGUGAAGCCUGCGGUUCAAUUGGAGUCAACGCCAAGGGCGAUCCAAUCGAAUU
This 930-nucleotide ribosomal RNA is filed under the name uncultured archaeon. RNAcentral describes it as "bacterial SSU rRNA". It matches the Rfam family "Archaeal small subunit ribosomal RNA", at positions 1 to 936 of the family's 1478-position model. The record is from RNAcentral.